RNAcentral lists this ribosomal RNA (452 nucleotides) under uncultured bacterium. RNAcentral describes it as "bacterial SSU rRNA". It matches the Rfam family "Bacterial small subunit ribosomal RNA", at positions 340 to 782 of the family's 1533-position model. The record is from RNAcentral.
UACGGGAGGCAGCAGUGGGGAAUAUUGCACAAUGGGCGCAAGCCUGAUGCAGCCAUGCCGCGUGUAUGAAGAAGGCCUUCGGGUUGUAAAGUACUUUCAGUCGUGAGGAAGGUGUUAAGGUUAAUAACCUUAGCAAUUGACGUUAGCGACAGAAGAAGCACCGGCUAACUCCGUGCCAGCAGCCGCGGUAAUACGGAGGGUGCGAGCGUUAAUCGGAAUUACUGGGCGUAAAGGGCACGCAGGCGGUUAAUUAAGUUGGAUGUGAAAUCCCCGGGCUUAACCUGGGAAUGGCAUUCAAGACUGGUUAGCUAGAGUCUUGUAGAGGGGGUAGAAUUCCGAUGUGUAGCGGUGAAAUGCGUAGAGAUGUGGAGGAAUACCGGUGGCGAAGGCGGCCCCUGGGACAAAGACUGACGCUCAUGUGCGAAAGCGUGGGGAGCGAAACAGGGAUUAGA